This 457-nucleotide ribosomal RNA is filed under the name Bergeyella sp. oral taxon 422. RNAcentral's name for it is "bacterial SSU rRNA". It matches the Rfam family "Bacterial small subunit ribosomal RNA", at positions 28 to 487 of the family's 1533-position model. The record is from RNAcentral. Lineage: Bacteria; Pseudomonadati; Bacteroidota; Flavobacteriia; Flavobacteriales; Weeksellaceae.
GAUGAACGCUAGCGGGAGGCCUAACACAUGCAAGCCGAGCGGUAUUGUUUCUUCGGAAAUGAGAGAGCGGCGUACGGGUGCGGAACACGUGUGCAACCUGCCUUUAUCUGGGGGAUAGCCUUUCGAAAGGAAGAUUAAUACUCCAUAACAUAUUGAACGGCAUCGUUUAAUAUUGAAAGCUCCGGCGGAUAGAGAUGGGCACGCGCAAGAUUAGCUAGUUGGUGAGGUAACGGCUCACCAAGGCGAUGAUCUUUAGGGGGCCUGAGAGGGUGAUCCCCCACACUGGUACUGAGACACGGACCAGACUCCUACGGGAGGCAGCAGUGAGGAAUAUUGGUCAAUGGGUGCAAGCCUGAACCAGCCAUCCCGCGUGAAGGACGACUGCCCUAUGGGUUGUAAACUUCUUUUGUAUAGGGAUAAACCUACCCUCGUGAGGGAGCUGAAGUACUAUACGAAU